RNAcentral lists this small RNA (183 nucleotides) under Serratia fonticola. RNAcentral's name for it is "STAXI RNA". It matches the Rfam family "STAXI RNA". Lineage: Bacteria; Pseudomonadati; Pseudomonadota; Gammaproteobacteria; Enterobacterales; Yersiniaceae. The record is from Rfam by way of RNAcentral.
CGUUGUCGAUGACAACAGUCAAUGCUUCAGCGCAAGGAGUGCGCAGGUGAUCUGAGAGAAGUGCCCUAGGGCGAUCACAAGCCAAAGUCAUACGGAGAGAAGCGUGGUCUGAGACUGACGCUUUCGAGCGACCACAGCCAAUGCGACCUUAACCUGAAAGGACGCGCUUUAGAGCGGUAACCC